RNAcentral lists this transfer RNA (67 nucleotides) under Gonatocerus sp. ZCS-2018. RNAcentral describes it as "tRNA-Asp". The record is from RNAcentral. Lineage: Eukaryota; Metazoa; Arthropoda; Insecta; Hymenoptera; Mymaridae.
UAAAAAUUAGUUAAAUUAUAAUAUUAUUUUGUCAAAAUAAAGUUAUUUUAAAAUAAAAUAUUUUUAU